This 386-nucleotide ribosomal RNA is filed under the name uncultured eukaryote. RNAcentral's name for it is "partial 18S ribosomal RNA". It matches the Rfam family "Eukaryotic small subunit ribosomal RNA", at positions 592 to 976 of the family's 1831-position model. The record is from RNAcentral.
CAAUAGUGUAUAUUAACGUUGUUGCAGUUAAAAGGCUCGUAGUCGAACUUGUGGCAUCGACGACUGAACUCAGUCCUCUACGGAUUGUCUGUUUGUGUCGUCAUGCCAUCUUUCCGGAGCGCACCUCUGCUCUUGAUUGAGUGGUUGUGUUAUCCGGAUCCUUUACUGUGAGUAAAUCAGGGUGUUUAAGGCAGGCAUGAUAGCUUGAAUGUGUUAGCAUGGAAUAAUAAGAUAGGACUUCUGUUCUAUUUUGUUGGCUUCUAGAACUGAAGUAAUGAUUGAAAGGGAUAGUUGGGGGUGCUAGUAUUUAACGGUCAGCGGUGAAAUGCUCGGACCCGUUAAAGACUAACUUAUGCGAAAGCAUUCACCAAGGAUAUUUNCUUUGA